AUCGUUUUCAUUAUUGCAGCUCCUUCCUCAUUAUGAAAAAUGGAAAUUAUUUCAAAUCGUUUCAAGUCAAGUUAUUCAAAUUUCACAUAAAAAGGAGAAGCAUUGAAUCCUACUGUGGACUGAAUGACCACAAUUUUCAUACAAGUAUAGCCCCAGCCAGGAUUCUAAAUUUGGCUUCACAGAUUUAAUUAAAAUGUGCAGACUUCCUUUCACAAUGAACUGAUGGGGGCCAGAAUCCUAGUGUACAGCUCAUCAUGAAAAUGAGGGUUGUUAUGAUGGUGAACACAUUUUAUGGAAUGCUCAUUUAUUUCGUUAUAAUAAAACCCCCCAAAAUGUGCACUGUAUAUUUCACCGUGUAGAUACAAGAAGGAAAGGAAGGAAACCCUGGGUUUUAUUCCCUAGGUGUUCUCAUUGCUUUUAGAGAAACGCUAGUAAAUGACACUCAAGAAUCUCAUGAACAAGUAGGAUGGAUAGGACUGGUAAACCAUUUUUUUGGCAGGCUGAUACUGCAAAUGGUUUCUGCUUUCUGCCAUUGUGACCAUUGUUUAUUUUCAGCUUUCAUUCUUUCUGGCUCUCUUUUACCCAUCCCAUCCCUCUACCGCUAUGAUGACUCUCUGUCUCUCCAGGAGUUAUCCCUCCUAGCACAGUCCUGCUUUCCCUGCCCUCUGAACUCCAUACUCCACGGAUCCACUCCUUCCCAUUUGUUGCUCUUAAUGUUCUUCCUGUGCUUUUUCUUUGCCCUGCAGAAGGAGCAGAAUGGUUCCCUGUCCAAGGCACAGCCCUUCCCUGCACCAGGAGCUAAGCCAACACAGAGCACACCGGGGUGGGGUGAUGUAGUGAGCACUGCCUCCUGUCCUCAGCAGGACAAUUUGCCCGGCUCCUCUCAGGAAGACAAAGCUUGCAGGGGGAUGUCUGCAGGUUUUCUGCUUCUAACACUUCUCUCACCUGGAAAUGAAAUUUGAUCUGAACUGGGUAAAUCUGUGUCUGCAAUAUGAAUGACAUCAUCUGCAAAACAAGUGGAUGGAAUUAUUGUUUUGUUUUAUAACACUCAUUUUGAGGAACUAGCCUUUAUUUUAUGUUUUUCUCAUAUGCCUUCAUGCUAAAGUAAACAGUGUAUAAUAAUUAUUCAAUUAAAGCAGGAUAUAUAUUUUUUUUUUCGAGGAGGAAAAUAAGUUAGAAAAGCUUGACUGAGCACUAGUUAUGGUAGUAGAACUGCAGGCAGGGAAAACAGCAAAGGCUGUUGUAACUUCAAUUAAUGCCUAUUAUGUCAACAAUAACAUAAGGAGUCCCUGCAGUUUGUUUAAUAUUUUGUCAUGUUAGAGCAAGAAAAGUUAUUCCCAGCAAAUCCUAAUACCUCUGCACGAUCCUUUCAAAGAGCUAGACCUUUCUAUCAUUAUAUUCCUCAGUGAGGGAACCUCUCAGAGGAGAAAGAACAGGUCCAGGCCCAGAUGGCUGGAGAUCCAUGGGUGAAUAAGCAAUAUAACCAAACCAAGCAUAUUUAGGAAAGGACCGUGCUAGGGUGUGAUGUACUUAGGUGCUCAAGGCCAGGUUGGAUGGGCCCUGAGCAGCCUGAUCUGGUGGGGGCAGCCCUGCCCAUGGCAGGGGUUGGGACUGGAUGGCACUUAAGGUCCCUUCCAAUCCAAACUGUUCUAUGUUUCUACCGAUUCUAUGUUCCACUGAAUGAUGAGGCAAGAAUCAGCUGCCUGGCUCUGCAUGCGUGCACUUAAAGCAUUCCAGGGAAUCCUGCUGGUCCCCUGCUGCUUUGUUUGGAGAAGGGCAUUUGUUUCUUGUAGGUGAUGGCUCACGGCUGCUAGACCCAUGCAUGGGAAAUCUGAAGAGGCACUGGUUGCCUGUGCACCCAUCUAAGCUGGGUCAGUUGUUUCUUAAGAGGAACAGAGCGUUACCAUUUUGUGUAGGUUCAAAAGUGCCUGUGCCGGUCCUUUUAGCUCUGGGGUUUGCAGUGACAGGACCUUCUUCUAGGAAUUGAGAGCUGUAACAAGAUGUACAUGAGCACUAUUAGAGCUUCUGCUCUCUUCCCCAGAUCCUGCCAGUGCCUAGACAGCAGCUUGGCACACAGGGACAGCCAGACAAGGAUGGUGGAAAGCAAAUGGGACCAUUUCUUCACCUCUCCAAACUGCUUGUACACUCUGCUUUUUCUUCUACAUGCGAGACUGUAAAUAACGUCAUUUGUAAUCAUGUAAACUUGGUCUUCUGGGAAUGGAAAAACAGUUCCCAGCUGGGUACAAACUUGCAAAGCCAUCAAGUGGAAAUUCAGCAUGUGCUCAGCUUCUUAACAAAGCUAGUUUCGUGACUACAGAGAAAAUGAACACAGGCAAGAGGUUCUUUCAAAACUUCUUUUGCUGUGCGGUAGCUUAAACCCAGAAUGUUGCUGGACAGCCUGUAGUUUGCUUGUCUGGCUCCUUAUUGGAGCUCACUAUCCAGAGUUGUCCUUCUCCAUUAAGGAGAAAUAGGUGUUUCACUGUGACACCCAAAAUAGGUUGGUGGGGACCGGCAGGAAACUGGUAGAGCUUCACAAGCCCUGUCUGCAGCAAUGGGGAAGCGCUCUGUCCAGUCAGGAAACUCCUCCCAGAAAAUCAACAUUUAGAAAACCACUCUGAAACAGGCAACCUGAGGGUACAUUUCUCCUCGGUGGUAGCAGCCAGGCCACUGCCAAGAAAACAAUAAAAAUUUAAUGGGACCAGAGAGAGAUGAAAAU
Long non-coding RNA from Numida meleagris (helmeted guineafowl), 2716 nucleotides. Lineage: Eukaryota; Metazoa; Chordata; Aves; Galliformes; Numididae. The record is from Ensembl.